RNAcentral lists this ribosomal RNA (429 nucleotides) under Gemmatimonadota bacterium. RNAcentral describes it as "Gemmatimonadetes bacterium partial 16S ribosomal RNA". It matches the Rfam family "Bacterial small subunit ribosomal RNA", at positions 355 to 776 of the family's 1533-position model. The record is from RNAcentral. Lineage: Bacteria; Pseudomonadati; Gemmatimonadota.
UAGGGAAUCUUCGGCAAUGGACGAAAGUCUGACCGAGCAACGCCGCGUGAGUGAAGAAGGUUUUCGGAUCGUAAAACUCUGUUGUUAGAGAAGAACAAGGACGUUAGUAACUGAACGUCCCCUGACGGUAUCUAACCAGAAAGCCACGGCUAACUACGUGCCAGCAGCCGCGGUAAUACGUAGGUGGCAAGCGUUGCCCGGAUUUAUUGGGCGUAAAGCGAGCGCAGGCGGUUUCUUAAGUCUGAUGUGAAAGCCCCCGGCUCAACCGGGGAGGGUCAGUGGGAACUGGGAGACUUGAGUGCAGAAGAGGAGAGUGGAAGUCCAUGUGUAGCGGUGAAAUGCGUAGAUAUAUGGAGGAACACCAGUGGCGAAGGCGGCUCUCUGGUCUGUAACUGACGCUGAGGCUCGAAAGCGUGGGGAGCAAACAGG